GCCAGGCAUGGUGGCGGAUGCCUGUAAUCCCAGCUACUCAGGAGGCUGAAGCAGGAGAAUUGCUUGAACCUAGGAGGCAGAGGUUGCAGUGAGCCAAGAUUGCACCACUGCACUCCUGCCUGGGUAACAGAGCGAGAUUCCGUCUCAA
This 148-nucleotide non-coding RNA is filed under the name Nomascus leucogenys (northern white-cheeked gibbon). Lineage: Eukaryota; Metazoa; Chordata; Mammalia; Primates; Hylobatidae. The record is from Rfam by way of RNAcentral.